Molecule: long non-coding RNA, 3341 nt
Organism: Aquila chrysaetos chrysaetos
Lineage: Eukaryota; Metazoa; Chordata; Aves; Accipitriformes; Accipitridae
Exons: 2
Source: RefSeq, a predicted model, not a curated record
CACCAGCAGAGCCUAUUCCUCCAGGCUUUCCUCUCAACACAGCUGGCAUAGUUUGAUGUUAUCAGGGAUAAUCUUAGCUGGAGGAGGGUGUUUGUUGUGGUCUGGAGUUUCCCAGCAAGCUCAAAACCACAUCCUCUUUGGCCCCAGAAAAGCAGCUCUGACCUGGCGGUCCUCUUCACCUCCUCACUUUGCUCCCGUCCCCCCUGCGCCAAGGCAUCCCAUCCCACUGUGGGCUGGCUGAGGUGUGGUGCACUCGGGGACACAUCCCCCAGAGCACAAGUCCAGCUGCACCUCACCAGAGCCACCUGACCUUGUGCCACUGGGUCCGGAGUGGCCGCGGGAAGUCGAGGCGGUUUGGAGGUGGCAUUUCCCAGCUAACUUCUAGCCUGGCCCAAACUAGUGUGGCAAAACCUGUGGAGGGCAGCUACAGCUGGAGCACCCUUGGCAAGAGCCAGGAUUCAGGGCUUGGGUGAGUCUCCCAGCUGGAUGUGUGUCCCAGGGCGAAAGCUGGAGUAGCCCCAGCCUCCUCAGUGCGGCUGAACAGAGCCAGUGCCAUGGUGCAGGGCCACCCCAAAUGUCCCCAUCCAGGUCCUUGCGGCUGGUAGGCCAGCAGGAUUGUCCCAGUGCCACCAGGUGGCAGCUGCUGUUCAGGGACCUGUCAGUAUCGUGCCAUGUCUGGCACAUCCAGGUUUGGCACAGGUCAUGUCUGAGUGCUGUGCACAGCCCUGCAGCUGCCCAGACUGCAUCAGACUUUUGUCCCCCCAUGUCCUUUGCUUUAUAACACCCGCCUGCCCGUAGGAUUUAUAGUCCAGGAGCUCCUUGGGGUAUGUAGGGACAUGCAUAGAAGAGGUUUCGUACCUGUGAGUGCCACUCUUGCAGCUGCAAAGCGUGUGCAAAGGUGCAGCCUCGGCUUGUGCAACGUGGCAUGGUGCUGAAGGCAGCACAAGCGGAGGGACUGACGGCAGGAUUGGGUCUGACAUCCUGAGACAUGCUUCAGACACAGCGACAACUACUCGUGCACAGACACGAUACCCAGUGCCAGCCAGGAGCUGCAGGGUCUGCUGGAUUUAACCAGAGAUGUCUGAUUUGGGGAGGAAAUACACAACUGUGCUUCAGCAUGUCCAGAAGCUGCUGUUGUGUCAGCCCUGCUUUUUUGGGAAGCUGUUGGGCAAGAAACCGAGGCACAGAGCAGCCAGAGCUGGACACCAGUGCCUGGCUUCCCAGCAUGGAGCAGGUGCUCCCUCCAGAUACGUCGCUCUCAAGCAGCCGUGGAGGUCAGCCAUGGGAGUAUAGCAGAGUUGUGUGCCGGCUCCAGGUCAGCACAAAAACCUCUGUGCUGGUGACUCACCAAAUGCUAUUUAUGCUCUCCAAGUGGAGAGAGGUUUGGGGCAGGCCCUCAUUGCCCAGGGGUGGGGGGGCUCACCCUCCUCACCCCUACUGUGUGGACCUUCUCCCUUUGUUGGGGAUGUGGCAGCAGGGAAAUCCAGUCAGACCAGAAAAACUAUUGAUAAUAGGGGAGGGAGAACAAGAUAAAGGAGCAGCCCAUGGCUUUGUUGUGCAAAAAGUACCAGGUGAUCAAAAGCACCUACCCUGCAGAGAGCCCUCAUCUCCAGGUGCUGGGGCAGGGCCCUGCAGGCAAACAGCUCCUGGAGGUGCAGCAGCCCCUGGUUCCCACGCCAAGGCGCUGUGGUAGUCCGGGCUCCUCUGCCAGGCUGAGCAGCAGGACCCUGGGUGCUGUGGGGCUUUUCCAGCUUGGCCUGACCCAGUCCUCGGGGUGGUAAAUUCUGAAAAGACACUUGCUGAGUCGUGAGUACAUCCCAAGGCUCCCUCCAUCCCUCCCACAGCAGCCGUGCAGCAUCAGGUGGGACCACACAGAUGGACAAGGGGCUGGCACCCACCCACACUCAGAAAUAGUGUCCCGUCUCCCCAGCUGUGUGCUUCAGGGACAGAGCCUGGCCUGACCCCUGGGUCAUGUGGCUUUGAGGCUCCUGUGUUUCAGCAGACCUCAGGGACUUUUUACUGUGCUAAUAUCAGCGUACAUCUGCUUUGCCUGGUGCAGAGCUGGCAAGACGGGGGAAGGCUGUGGUUUGCAUUGUCACCUUAAUCUCUCAAAUCUCUCAAAGGUGUUUCCCAGCUCUGCACCCCUCCAGGACAGAGCCUCACAGGUUGUCUCAUGCCUGGCAGAGAGGCCUUCGGACUGUGUGUUCAGCUUAUCUCAGCCCCGGUCAAUGGUCCAGGGCUGCCCAACGGCUCUGCCAGGUGCAGACAUCUCUGCCAUGAGAGCUAGGCUGGGCCCCAGCAGCGCCGAGGGGAGCGAGCCAACGUAAGCCACAUACUGCCACCGCAUGCGAGGUCCCGACCUGCCACCUCAGCCCGUGGCUUGUCCCCACAACCUUCCUGCUUUUGCGAGGAGCGGGAGGGGACUAAAGGAUGUGUUUCCCUGAUGGGCCGCAUCCUGCCAGAUUGGCACAAAGAUGGGGCACGUCAGCUCAGUUACACUGCACAGCUGCAUCCCUGAGCCCCUUUCCCUACCCGCAGCGUGGGGUUGUGUACAAGGCAGAAAGGCAGAGCCCAGCGCUCAGAGCUGCGGUUGCCAUGGGGUGAUGCUGAGCACAGCCCUGAGCAUCUCCGGUCCCACAGCUGAGAGCUGCCGCCGCACUGCCGUCAUGUGGGUGCCGGGGUCCCCACGUCCAAGCAUCCUCUGUGCGGUCACUUCCCUGCUCACCUCCUGACUUUGGUUGCAGUAACACCUAAAAAUCCAAGCAAAGACCGUCAGGGAGCAUCCACGGCACUGCCCAGGCAGCGUUACUGCGGGCAGGCGCUUUGCCUGACCCCGUUUCUGCAGGGAACCUGGCGAGAGGAGGUUUGGCCGAGGCGCACUCGCGCUGCUCUCCCCACCCUGUCGGGAAGGGGCUGUGCGUCAGCCUCCCGAGACAUCUGCUGACAAAUUUUUCAUUAUGCAAUGGCCUUGCCUUCACAGGCAGCCAUAUGGCCCCACGUUCUCCAGCGGGGCUGACAGCAAUGCGUUCCUAGGUCCAGACUUCGCAUUUCAGGGAAAUUUCCUAUGAGCAGAUUUUUGGCACUUUCUUAAAUGCACCUCUGACCUGUGCUGAACAAAUUGGGAUAUAUAAAUCCUCCAGGAGAUUUUUGGAGAUCUCUUUCUCCCAGCUGGACAGUUCAUCAUGGCAAAGAGCAUAAGACUUUCCUCCACCAACCUGUGGCCAACAGCCAGCUGGUGCAAAAUGUGCUUAUUUUCCUCUUGCUUUCUCUAGCCAUGUGGAUGGCUUGGGUUUUGUUUCCAAGAAGUAAUCACUGGAAUAAAAAGCCCAGGCUAAAAAUGA